Molecule: ribosomal RNA, 459 nt
Filed under: uncultured bacterium
Lineage: Bacteria
Description: partial 16S ribosomal RNA
Rfam family: Bacterial small subunit ribosomal RNA
Source: RNAcentral
CCUACGGGAGGCAGCAGUGAGGAAUAUUGGUCAAUGGGCGGAAGCCUGAACCAGCCAAGUAGCGUGCGGGAUGAAGGCCCUACGGGUCGUAAACCGCUUUUGCACGGGGAUAACACCCUCCACUUGUGGAGGUCUGCAGGUACCGUGCGAAUAAGGGCCGGCUAAUUCCGUGCCAGCAGCCGCGGUAAUACGGAAGGCCCGAGCGUUAUCCGGAUUCAUUGGGCUUAAAGGGAGCGUAGGCGGGUGUUCAAGUCAGCUGUAAAAUCGCGCGGCUCAACCGCGCCCCGCAGUUGAAACUGGACGCAUUGAGUUCACAACAGGCAGGCGGAAUUCGUGGUGUAGCGGUGAAAUGCAUAGAGAUCACGAGGAACCCCGAUUGCGAAGGCAGCCUGCCGGGGUGCGACUGACGCUGAGGCUCGAAGGUGCGGGUAUCAAACAGGAUUAGAUACCCCUGUAGUC